GACGAACGCUGGCGGCGUGCUUAACACAUGCAAGUCGAACGGAAAGGCCCUGCUUUUGUGGGGUGCUCGAGUGGCGAACGGGUGAGUAACACGUGAGUAACCUGCCCUUGACUUUGGGAUAACUUCAGGAAACUGGGGCUAAUACCGGAUAGGAGCUCCUGCUGCAUGGUGGGGGUUGGAAAGUUUCGGCGGUUGGGGAUGGACUCGCGGCUUAUCAGCUUGUUGGUGGGGUAGUGGCUUACCAAGGCUUUGACGGGUAGCCGGCCUGAGAGGGUGACCGGCCACAUUGGGACUGAGAUAGGGACCAGACUCCUACGGGAGGCAGCAGUGGGGAAUAUUGCACAAUGGGCGGAAGCGUGAGGCAGAAACGCCACGUGCGGGAUGACGGCAUUCGGGUUGUAAACCGCUUUCGCCUGUGACGAAGCGGGAGUGACGGUAAUGGGUAAAGAAGCACCGGCUAACUACGUG
Molecule: ribosomal RNA, 468 nt
Filed under: uncultured bacterium
Lineage: Bacteria
Description: partial 16S ribosomal RNA
Rfam family: Bacterial small subunit ribosomal RNA
Source: RNAcentral